CUACGGGUCGCAGCAGUGGGGAAUAUUGCACGAUGGGGGGAACCCUGAUGCAGCAACGCCGCGUGGAGGAUGACGCAUUUCGGUGUGUAAACUCCUUUUAUAUGUCAAGAAAAUGACGGUAGCAUAUGAAUAAGCACCGGCUAACUCCGUGCCAGGCAGCCGCGGUAAUACGGAGGGUGCAAGCGUUACUCGGAAUCACUGGGCGUAAAGGACGCGUAGGCGGGUUGGAAAGUCAGGUGUGAAAUCCUACAGCUUAACUGUAGAACUGCACUUGAAACUUCUAAUCUAGAGUAUGGGAGGGGGAGAUGGAAUUAGUGGUGUAGGGGUAAAAUCCGUAGAUAUCACUAGGAAUACCUAAAGCGAAGGCGAUCUCCUGGAACAUUACUGACGCUAAGGCGUGAAAGCGUGGGGAGCAAACAGGAUUAGAUACCCUCGUAGUC
This 440-nucleotide ribosomal RNA is filed under the name uncultured bacterium. RNAcentral describes it as "partial 16S ribosomal RNA". It matches the Rfam family "Bacterial small subunit ribosomal RNA", at positions 339 to 795 of the family's 1533-position model. The record is from RNAcentral.